RNAcentral lists this ribosomal RNA (443 nucleotides) under uncultured bacterium. Its description in RNAcentral is "partial 16S ribosomal RNA". It matches the Rfam family "Bacterial small subunit ribosomal RNA", at positions 338 to 795 of the family's 1533-position model. The record is from RNAcentral.
CCUACGGGAGGCAGCAGUGGGGAAUAUUGGGCAAUGGGCGCAAGCCUGACCCAGCAACGCCGCGUGAAGGAAGAAGGCUUUCGGGUUGUAAACUUCUUUUCUGAGGGACGAAGAACGUGACGGUCCCUCAGGAAUAAGCCACGGCUACCUCCGUGCCCGCAGCCGCGGUACUACGUAGGUGGCAAGCGUUCUCCGGAUUUAUUGGGUGUAAAGGGCGUGUAGGCGGGAAAGCAAGUCAGAUGUGAAAACUCGGGGCUCAACCCUGAGCCUGCAUUUGAAACUGUUUUUCUGGAGUGCUGGAGAGGCAAGCGGAAUUCCGGGUGUAGCGGUGAAAUGCGUAGAUAUAAGGAGGAACACCAGUGGCGAAGGCGGAUUGCUGGACAGUAACUGACGCUGAGGCGCGAAAGCGUGGGGAGCAAACAGGAUUAGAUACCCUUGUAGUC